UGCCAGACUCCUACGGGAGGCAGCAGUGGGGGAUAUUGCACAAUGGGGGAAACCCUGAUGCAGCGACGCCGCGUGGGUGAAGAAGUAUUUCGGUAUGUAAAGCCCUAUCAGCAGGGAAGAAAGAAGACGGUACCUGACUAAGAAGCCCCGGCUAACUACGUGCCAGCAGCCGCGGUAAUACGUAGGGGGCGAGCGUUAUCCGGAUUCACUGGGUGUAAAGGGAGCGUAGACGGCCGUGCAAGCCAGGAGUGAAAGCCCGGGGCCCAACCCCGGGACUGCAUUUGAAACUGCCGUGCUGGAGUGUCGGAGAGGCAAGUGGAAUUCCUAGUGUAGCGGUGAAAUGCGUAGAUAUUAGGAGGAACACCAGUGGCGAAGGCGGCUUGCUGGACGAUAACUGACGCUGAGGCUCGAAAGCGUGGGGAGCAAACAGGAUUAGAUACCCGCGUA
Molecule: ribosomal RNA, 447 nt
Filed under: uncultured bacterium
Lineage: Bacteria
Description: bacterial SSU rRNA
Rfam family: Bacterial small subunit ribosomal RNA
Source: RNAcentral